RNAcentral lists this ribosomal RNA (201 nucleotides) under uncultured bacterium. RNAcentral's name for it is "partial 16S ribosomal RNA". It matches the Rfam family "Bacterial small subunit ribosomal RNA", at positions 521 to 721 of the family's 1533-position model. The record is from RNAcentral.
UAAUACAGAGGGGGCAAGCGUUAUUCGGAAUUAUUGGGCGUAAAGGGCGCGUAGGCGGCUUGGCAAGUGGAUGGUGAAAUCCCUCGGCUUAACCGAGGAACUGCCAUCCAGACUGCUUUGCUUGAGGCCGGGAGAGGUAAGUGGAAUUCCCAGUGUAGCGGUGAAAUGCGUAGAUAUUGGGAGGAACACCAGUGGCGAAGG